RNAcentral lists this transfer RNA (64 nucleotides) under Calanus simillimus. RNAcentral describes it as "tRNA-Ile". Lineage: Eukaryota; Metazoa; Arthropoda; Copepoda; Calanoida; Calanidae. The record is from RNAcentral.
AAUAAAAUGCCUGAUAAAAAGGACUAUUUUGAUAGAAUAGAUUAUGAAUGUAUUUCUUUUAUUA